AUUUUGGUGUAUGUUGCAUAUGAAAUUUUGAUUUUCGUGGGCUUAGUUAGAUUCUAAGGGGUAUAA
This 66-nucleotide transfer RNA is filed under the name Tuxedo elongatus. RNAcentral's name for it is "tRNA-Gln". Lineage: Eukaryota; Metazoa; Arthropoda; Insecta; Hemiptera; Miridae. The record is from RNAcentral.